GUAAGGCAAUAAGUGCAUUCGGUGGAUGCCUUGGAGUUAGAUAGGGACGAAGGACGUGGCCAACUGCGAUAUGCCUCGGGGAGCUGUAAGCAAGCGUAGAUCCGGGGAUUUCCGAAUGGGGAAACCCAUCCCAAGUUAUGUUGGGAUAUCAUUCUUCUGAAUAAAAUAGGAAGUCUGAGCCAAACGCAGGGAACUGAAACAUCUUAGUACCUGCAGGAAAAGAAAGCAACCGCGAUUCCCUUAGUAGCGGCGAGCGAAAGGGGAACAGCCUAAACCUCGAUUUUUCGAGGGGUCGUGGGAUCCAAGCCGCGUUUCGCUGGAGUCAUAGUCAAACUACUCUGGAAAGGUAGGCCAUAGAGGGUGAUAGCCCCGUAGGCGAAAUGAUGAAAGUGCAACAAUUGGACACCCGAGUAAGACGGGACACUAGGAAUCUUGUCUGAAUUUGCGAGGACCAUCUCGUAAGGCUAAAUAUAAUCUAACUACCGAUAGUGAACCAGUACCGUGAGGGAAAGGUGAAAAGCACCCCGUGAGGGGAGUGAAAUAGUACCUGAAACCGAUUGCAUAUGAUCAGUCGAAGUCUUCUUUUUGUGCUUGCACAAGAGGGGGAUGACGGCGUGCCUUUUGUAUAAUGAGCCGGCGAGUUACUUUUUGCAGCAAGGUUAAGGGCUAUAGGUCCGGAGCCAAAGCGAAAGCGAGUCUGAAUAGGGCGUUAAGUUGUUAGGAGUAGACCCGAAACUGAGUGAUCUACCCAUGUCCAGGUUGAAGAUCCGGUAACACGGAUUGAAGGACCGAACCUACUGAAGUUAAAAAUUCAGAGGAUGAGGUGUGGGUAGGGGUGAAAGGCCAAACAAACUCAGAGAUAUCUGGUUCUCUUCGAAAUCUGUUUAGGCAGGGCCUCAUGUUAGAUUAACGGAGGUAAAGCACUGAUUGGGCUAGGGGCCCCACAAGGUUACCAACCCCAUUCAAACUAAGAAUGCCGUUAAUUGAUGCAUGGGAGUCAGUCUGCGGGGGAUAAGCUCCGUAGGCGAAAGGGAAACACCCCAGACCAUCAGCUAAGGUCCCUAAAUAUACACUAAGUGAAGAAGGAUGUUAAAUUGCAAAAACAGCCAGGAUGUUGGCUUAGAAGCAGCCAUUCAUUUAAAGAGUGCGUAAUAGCUCACUGGUCGAGUGGUUUUGCACCGAAGAUGAUCGGGACUAAGUGUAUUACCGAAGCUAUGGAUUUUCAGAGUAAUCUGAAAGUGGUAGAAGAGCAUUCUGUAAGGCUGCGAAGGUGUACCGGAAGGUAUGCUGGAGCUAUCAGAAGAGAUUAUGCCGGCAUGAGUAGUGAGAAUCUCGGUGAGAAACCGAGACACCGUAAGUCUAAGGUUUCCUGAGUAAAGUUAAUCUGCUCAGGGUUAGUCGGACCCUAAGGCGAGGCCGAAAGGCGUAGUCGAUGGGAAAGCAGUCAAAAUUCUGCUACCCGAUAUAGGUAGUGAUGGGAUGACGCAGUUAUGCGAGGAAGACUGGUAUUGGACGCCCAGUUUUAAGCUGGUAGGUUGGAUGAGCAGGAAAAUCCACUCAUCUAUAACCGAGAAGCGAAUACGAGCCACAUAAGUGGCAGAAGUUCCUCUAUAAAGCUGCCAAGAAAUAAUCUCUAAACGUUUAAAUCUAUAUCGGCCCGUACCGCAAACCGACUCAGGUAGACGAGGAGAGUAUCCUCAGGUGCUCGAGAUAACUCUGGUUAAGGAACUAGGCAAAAUUACCCCGUAACUUCGGAAGAAGGGGUGCCAUUGAAGGUGAAAGGACUCGCUCUUCGAGCUUUCGAUGGUCGCAGUGAAGAGGCCCAAGCGACUGUUUAUCAAAAACACAGGUCUAUGCAAAGUAGUAAUACCAUGUAUAUGGACUGACACCUGCCCGGUGCCGGAAGGUUAAAUGGAUGGCUUAGCUCGUUUCUUUUAGAAAUGGGCAAAGGUCAGAAAUGAAGCCCCGGUAAACGGCGGCCGUAACUAUAACGGUCCUAAGGUAGCGAAAUUCCUUGUCGGGUAAGUUCCGACCUGCACGAAUGGUGUAACGACUUGGGCGCUGUCUCAACCAGGGACUCGGUGAAAUUGCAGUGGCGGUGAAGAUGCCGCCUACCCGCGAAAGGACGGAAAGA
This 2134-nucleotide ribosomal RNA is filed under the name metagenome. RNAcentral's name for it is "bacterial LSU rRNA". It matches the Rfam family "Bacterial large subunit ribosomal RNA", at positions 1 to 2088 of the family's 2925-position model. The record is from RNAcentral.